GCGGGUGUAGUCUAAUGGUAAAAUUCCAACUUCCCAAGAUGGAGAUGUGGGUUCGAUUCCCAUCACCCGCU
This 71-nucleotide transfer RNA is filed under the name Endomicrobium sp. RNAcentral's name for it is "tRNA-Gly". It matches the Rfam family "tRNA". Rfam says of the family: Transfer RNA (tRNA) molecules are approximately 80 nucleotides in length. Their secondary structure includes four short double-helical elements and three loops (D, anti-codon, and T loops). The record is from RNAcentral. Lineage: Bacteria; Pseudomonadati; Elusimicrobiota; Endomicrobiia; Endomicrobiales; Endomicrobiaceae.